GAAUAUUGCACAAUGGGGGAAACCCUGAUGCAGCCAUGCCGCGUGUGUGAAGAAGGCCUUCGGGUUGUAAAGCACUUUCAGUUGUGAGGAAAAGUGAGUAGUUAAUACCUGCUCACCGUGACGUUAACAACAGAAGAAGCACCGGCUAACUCCGUGCCAGCAGCCGCGGUAAUACGGAGGGUGCGAGCGUUAAUCGGAAUUACUGGGCGUAAAGCGCACGCAGGCGGUUUGUUAAGCUAGAUGUGAAAGCCCCGAGCUCAACUUGGGAUGGUCAUUUAGAACUGGCAGACUAGAGUCUUGGAGAGGGGAGUGGAAUUCCAGGUGUAGCGGUGAAAUGCGUAGAUAUCUGGAGGAACAUCAGUGGCGAAGGCGACUCCCUGGCCAAAGACUGACGCUCAUGUGCGAAAGUGUGGGUAGCGAACAGGAUUAGAUACCCUGGUAGUCCACACCGUAAACGCUGUCUACUAGCUGUUUGUGGCUUUAAGCCGUGAGUAGCGAAGCUAACGCGAUAAGUAGACCGCCUGGGGAGUACGGCCGCAAGGUUAAAACUCAAU
This 554-nucleotide ribosomal RNA is filed under the name Alteromonas sp. 14III/A01/003. RNAcentral's name for it is "bacterial SSU rRNA". It matches the Rfam family "Bacterial small subunit ribosomal RNA", at positions 359 to 905 of the family's 1533-position model. The record is from RNAcentral. Lineage: Bacteria; Pseudomonadati; Pseudomonadota; Gammaproteobacteria; Alteromonadales; Alteromonadaceae.